GUGACCACCAUCAUCACCAUCUCCAUUAUUAUCAUCAUCAGUCAUGAUCUCUCGUGGUCUCCUGCUGGUUCUGCUGGUUCUCACCUGCCUUCAGUCUUUUGCAACGGCCAACAACUCAGUGGAACCAGAAACAUGCUGCUUCAGUUACUAUGAGAGUCCAAUCCCUAUCAGAGUCAUUACAGGGUAUAAAGUAACAGACCGUCAGUGUACAAAACCUGCAGUCAUCUUUACCCUGAAGAACAGCCGUCGUGUGUGUGUAGAUCCUGAAGUCAAGUGGGUGCAGAACCACAUGAAAAGAAUUGACCAGAACCUGUAUAAAAAACUGAUCCAAUCUCAAAUGAGUGUUUAAAUUCAUUUCAUAUUCAAUUUAAUCAAUUCACUUUUUCUGUAGUUCAGCAGGAAGAAUCUUUUUUACAUUAUAUAUUAAAUUAUAAAUUGAGCCUAGUAUGAUUUAUCUGAUUUAUUAGUAUACAUAUACAGUAUAUUACAUCUUCUAAAUCUUCUCACUAGUACUUCCUGCUAUCAUCUAUUCUUUUUCCUCUUUCUUUUUCUCCAUUCUAUAAGUAAUGUGAGUUUCUAAUCAGGCACCAAUACAGUACUGUUUUUUACAAACCUGUAAAAGAAUUAAAAUCAAUAAAUAGUGACUGUA
This is a long non-coding RNA of Silurus meridionalis, 649 nucleotides long. RefSeq lists it as uncharacterized. Lineage: Eukaryota; Metazoa; Chordata; Actinopteri; Siluriformes; Siluridae. The transcript is spliced from 3 exons. The record is from RefSeq and is a predicted model, not a curated record.